UACAGAGGGGGCAAGCGUUAUUCGGAAUUAUUGGGCGUAAAGGGCGCGUAGGCGGCUUUGCAAGUGGCGGGUGAAAUCCCUCGGCUUAACCGAGGAACUGCCUGUCAAACUGCAUGGCUUGAGACCAGGAGAGGUGAGUGGAAUUCCCAGUGUAGCGGUGAAAUGCGUAGAUAUUGGGAGGAACACCGGUGGCGAAGGCGGAUCUCUGGGCCUGUCCUGACGCUCAGGCGCGAAAGCUAGGGGAGCAAACAGG
Molecule: ribosomal RNA, 253 nt
Filed under: uncultured bacterium
Lineage: Bacteria
Description: partial 16S ribosomal RNA
Rfam family: Bacterial small subunit ribosomal RNA
Source: RNAcentral